Molecule: ribosomal RNA, 269 nt
Filed under: uncultured bacterium
Lineage: Bacteria
Description: partial 16S ribosomal RNA
Rfam family: Bacterial small subunit ribosomal RNA
Source: RNAcentral
GUCCGUGCCCUAAACGAUGAUUACUGGAUUUGGGAGUAUCGACCCUCCCAGAGUCGUUCAAAUAAGCUAACGCGUUAAGUAAUCCGCCUGGGGAGUACGGCCGCAAGGCUAAAACUCAAAGGAAUAGACGGGGACCCGCACAAGCGGUGGAACAUGUGGUUUAAUUCGACGGUAAGCGAGGAACCUCACCAAGGCUUGACAUGUAACUGCAAAUCUCCUGAAAGGGAGACUCCUUCGAGGGUGUUACACAGGUGCUGCAUGGUUGUCGU